ACAAAUUCUUGUCGAUGUCUCCCAUUUAUAUAGGUUUAAUUAUAACAGUAAUUUUUUGUUCUCUAUCCUGUUUAAUCGCUCCAGGGCCAGACAAGCCAUUAAACCGUAUUUUACUUUGUACAAGCGUCAUAUGUCUAUUCAUAUUUUGGUGCCUGAUAUACGUUGCACAAAUGAACCCUAUUGCGUUUCCAGCGUGAACACAAAAUAUGUUGUAGCAAGGUGGCCCUUUAUUGCAGCCUGUCAUCCUUAUUGAGUCAGAAUAAUCUGUUCGAUUGCAUGCGCUAUCACCUCAAUGUACAAAAAUAAUAUAGGUAUAUUCUGCUGGGAGGCUACAUAGCGAAAUAGCUUCACAAGUGCCCUUGUAUUUUCCGUAGCUCCUUUUGGUCAAUAAAAAUUACAUUGCUCAGGAUAAAUUACUCGCUCGUUUAGAACAUUGAUGGCCAGUCGGAUGGCCGCGAUACAGCGUUGCUGUCAUAUGGCCAUUGUUCUUCUCAGCCUCACAACUGAACCACUGUAUUUUCAAGGCAGGUUGAAGACGUAAAAAACAAAGUAUAUGUGCGCAACAGAACUGUACAGGAGAACUUCGACAAAAACGUUCUAACCUUCUUGUUAGCCGCUUCACUACUCUAUCGAAACAACACACUAAGCCUUUUUUUCUCGCCGCAGCAUAGUGCCUGAAGUUCCACUAGUCCGUGACUGUCUGAUUUUGGUAUUUAACAAUGUCUCCGGAUAGGUAAAAUAGAGGGAGUUCUCGAUAGCUCAUUACUAUGCGGUGCCCACGCAGAGAGUGACGCACGGUGUUUCGAUCAUGAAACAGUAAAAGCAUAUGAGGCAAUUGUCUCUACGCGUGGAGACCGAUUUCGAACUGCGCGACUCAACGCUGUUUUUCUGAGUAGAAACGAGAAUCGCGUACAUGUUUUCUUCUUCAAUACAGGUGUACUAUAUACAGAGAGGAGUUGAAUCAACGUUCAAGACCGCAUUUAACUCAUGAAAAACGUUGUAUCUUGUACACGAUGCAUGCUCAUUAGUGGCACGCGUUGGAACAUGAUCAAUUUAUAUUCGUUUUUGUAAAAAGAGAGUCGAGUUUCAAAAAUCAGAUUGUACCGCCCUAAUUUCAC
Long non-coding RNA from Schistocerca gregaria, 1118 nucleotides. RefSeq lists it as uncharacterized. Lineage: Eukaryota; Metazoa; Arthropoda; Insecta; Orthoptera; Acrididae. The record is from RefSeq and is a predicted model, not a curated record. The transcript has 4 exons.